UACAUGGGGUGCAAACGUUGCUCGGAAUUAUUGGGCGUAAAGCGCACGUAGGCGGUCCGUUAAGUCAGAUGUGAAAGCCCCCGGCUCAACCGGGGAAGUGCAUCUGAAACUGGCGGGCUAGAGUACGAAAGAGGGUCGCGGAAUUCCCGGUGUAGAGGUGAAAUUCGUAGAUAUCGGGAGGAACACCGGUGGCGAAGGCGGCGACCUGGGUCGAUACUGACGCUGAGGUGCGAAAGCGUGGGGAGCGAACAGG
Molecule: ribosomal RNA, 253 nt
Filed under: uncultured bacterium
Lineage: Bacteria
Description: partial 16S ribosomal RNA
Rfam family: Bacterial small subunit ribosomal RNA
Source: RNAcentral